This 253-nucleotide ribosomal RNA is filed under the name uncultured Eubacteriales bacterium. RNAcentral's name for it is "uncultured Clostridiales bacterium partial 16S ribosomal RNA". It matches the Rfam family "Bacterial small subunit ribosomal RNA", at positions 524 to 776 of the family's 1533-position model. The record is from RNAcentral. Lineage: Bacteria; Bacillati; Bacillota; Clostridia; Eubacteriales.
UACGUAGGGGGCAAGCGUUAUCCGGAUUUACUGGGUGUAAAGGGAGCGUAGACGGCGAUGCAAGUCUGAAGUGAAAGGCGGGGGCCCAACCCCCGGACUGCUCUGGAAACUAUGUUACUGGAGUGCAGGAGAGGUAAGCGGAAUUCCUAGUGUAGCGGUGGAAUGCGUAGAUAUUAGGAGGAACACCAGUGGCGAAGGCGAUUUGCUGGACUGUAACUGACACUGAGGCACGAAAGCGUGGGGAGCAAACAGG